Long non-coding RNA from Drosophila ananassae, 1661 nucleotides. RefSeq lists it as uncharacterized. The record is from RefSeq and is a predicted model, not a curated record. NCBI's taxonomy places the organism in Eukaryota, Metazoa, Arthropoda, Insecta, Diptera, Drosophilidae. The transcript is spliced from 8 exons.
UCAUCUCAGUUAACUGGGAAAAAUGAUUCAUUGGCCAUUCGGUUUUGCCUCACAGCUAAAUUUUAAAACACAUCGAUACGUCGUACUCUUGAAAAAUGUGCCAGGAUGGAUCGUGUCCUAGUUUUCCGGCACGAAAGUGCGGUAUUUGUUAUGCCAUUUAUUGUAUUGUGAUAGGAGCUACUGCCACGCGGGAUAUCUUUUACUAUUUGGAAUCUUGAAAGAAAAAAAAACGUUAUUCAAAAUAGGAAAGGUUUUUAGCUACUUUUGGCCCAUAGUCUUUGUAGAGUUUACCUUUCCAUUAAUUGUCCAUAUUAUAAGCGUAUGCAGACUGUGUUCGUUAAGAGAUGAACUAUUUCCAUAAUAUGAGGACAAUUAUCAGGACAUUGAUUUUAUAUUUUUUGACAAUAUUUUGCUAAAUUUUCAGCUUCAUAUAAGUUUUUCCAAAUUCCCUGGUAAUCGGCAUAUUCUAAUUUUAGAAUGUUUGGAAGAAAUUCAGAGUCCUCUUGGCAGUGGCCAUCCCCCGGAUCAGAAUCAAAUGGAUCUCCUCCAUGAUCUAUAUGAAUAAAAUAAAACAGUGAAAUCAUUUUUGUAUUGUAUUGGAUAAAAUGAGUAUUACUUAAAGGGUAGAAGUUUAUUUAAAUUUAUUUUCAGGUUUCAAAGUUCUGGGUAUAAUAAUGUCUUUCUUUCGUAUCGUAAAAAAGUUUAGCCCCAUGUUUUUUGUUUAAUUUUUGAGAUCUUUUACAGAUCGAAGAUAAAGUAUGUUCUGAGUUAAAAUAUUUUCUAAGAAGUGUAUUAAAGCUUCAGAUUUAGCAGCAGAUCAAGUGAGGGAGAUGAGGACCAUUAUUUUUAAUUACAACUAGUUUCGAAUUACUUCAAGUUUUGAAUCGAACGAUUUUUCAUCCUAGUUAUCUGAGAAAAAGGAUUCAUGCCCUUCGAUUUAUAUAACUCUCAGUUAAAACUGAAACCCAUACACACGUACACUAGAAAAAUGUGUCAAGAAGGAUCGUUACCUAGUAUUCCGGAAAGAAUAUGCGGUAUCUCGUAUGCCAUUUAUUGUAUUGUUGUUGGAUCUGUUUUUGUGCUAAUUUGUGUGAUGAGAACACUUAGUUUUCAAGAAGACGAGGAACAAAUCUUGCUUAUAGCAAAUUGCAUUGCCAUUAUACUGGCGAUCUCAUAUAUAGUGGCGGGAAUAUUAUUAUUACUUGGAAUCAAGAAAAAAAAUAAGUUGCUUUUCGCAGUGGGAAAGGCAUUGAGCUACAUUUGGCCAAUAUAUUAUGUUUGGCUUAUUUUUCCAUUAAUUGUCCAUAUUAUUAGCGCAUGCAGACUUUGUCCGUUAAGGGAUAAGUUAUUUCCCGAACAGUAAGAUAUGAAAUAUUUCCAUUUUCAGCCUUUAUAAGCUGUUAAAAAAUGCACGCUUUUUUUUUAUGUUUCCCAACAUAAUAUUAGUGGUAUCGCAUUUAACCUUAAGAGGAUGGCAUUGCGUUUAAGAUGAUCUAUUUGGACAGUCCACUUCGAGUUCUUGAACUUUUUAUUGAGAAGCUAACUUAAAUGGAGUUGUCCGGAAUAAUGGAGUAGUUCUCGUCCGGAUCGGGAUUAAACGGAUCGCUAUCUCAUCUGCUCAAUGAUCUAAUAACUGCACAAUAAAUGGCUUGAUUACAUAA